GACGGGACCCGCACAAGCGGUUGGAGUGAUUGUGGUUUAAUUCGAUGCAACGCGAAAAACCUUACCCACCUUUGACAUGGCAGGAAGUUUCCAGAGAUGGAUUCGUGCUCGAAAGAGAACCUGCACACAGGUGCUGCAUGGCUGUCGUCAGCUCGUGUCGUGAGAUGUUGGGUUAAGUCCCGCAACGAGCGCAACCCUUGCCAUUAGUUGCUACGAAAGGGCACUCUAAUGGGACUGCCGGUGACAAACCGGAGGAAGUGGGGAUGACGUCAAAUCAUCAUGCCCCUUAUGUUCUGGGCUACACACGUGCUACAAUGGCCGGUACAGACGGAGGCGAAGCCGCGAGGCGGAGCAAAUCCGAAAAAGCCGGUCUCAGUUCGGAUUGCAGGCUGCAAUUCGCCUGCAUGAAGUCGGAAUCGCUAGUAAUCGCAGGUCAGCAUACUGCGGUGAAUACGUUCCCGGGCCUU
This 467-nucleotide ribosomal RNA is filed under the name uncultured Hydrogenophaga sp. RNAcentral describes it as "bacterial SSU rRNA". It matches the Rfam family "Bacterial small subunit ribosomal RNA", at positions 916 to 1381 of the family's 1533-position model. Lineage: Bacteria; Pseudomonadati; Pseudomonadota; Betaproteobacteria; Burkholderiales; Comamonadaceae. The record is from RNAcentral.